RNAcentral lists this ribosomal RNA (465 nucleotides) under uncultured bacterium. RNAcentral describes it as "partial 16S ribosomal RNA". It matches the Rfam family "Bacterial small subunit ribosomal RNA", at positions 28 to 506 of the family's 1533-position model. The record is from RNAcentral.
GAUGAACGCUGGCGGCGUGCUUAACACAUGCAAGUCGAACGAUGAAGCCCAGCUUGCUGGGUGGAUUAGUGGCGAACGGGUGAGUAACACUUGAGUAACCUGCCCUUAACUCUGGGAUAGGCCUGGGAAACUGGGUCUAAUACCGGAUAGGAGCGCCUACCGCAGGGUGGGUGUUGGAAAGAUUUAUCGGUUUUGGAUGGACUCGCGGCCUAUCAGCUUGUUGGUGAGGUAAUGGCUCACCAAGGCGACGACGGGUAGCCGGCCUGAGAGGGUGACCGGCCACACUGGGACUGAGACACGGCCCAGACUCCUACGGGAGGCAGCAGUGGGGAAUAUUGCACAAUGGGCGAAAGCCUGAUGCAGCGACGCCGCGUGAGGGAUGACGGCCUUCGGGUUGUAAACCGCUUUCAGUAGGGAAGAAGCGAAAGUGACGGUACCUGCAGAAGAAGCACCGGCUAACUACGU